UGGGCGGUUCGCCCAUUAAAGUGGUACGCGGGCUGGGUUCAGAACGUCGUGGGACAGUUCGGUACCUAUUCGUCGCAGGCGUAGGAAAUUUGGGAAGACCUGUCCUUAGUACGAGAGGACCGGGAUGGACGUACCUCUGGUGUACCAGUGGUUGUGCGAAGGGCAUGGCUGGGUAGCUAUGUACGGAAUGGAUAAGCGCUGAAAGCAUCUAAGCGCGAAGCCAACUUCAAGAUAAGAUUUCCCACCGCAAGGGUAAGACCCCAGAAAGACUAUCUGGUUGAUAGGUCGAAGGUGUAAGUGCAGCAAUGUAUUUAGCUUAUCGAUACUAAUAGGUCGAGGACUUGACCAAU
This 350-nucleotide ribosomal RNA is filed under the name Clostridioides difficile. Its description in RNAcentral is "bacterial LSU rRNA". It matches the Rfam family "Bacterial large subunit ribosomal RNA", at positions 2572 to 2925 of the family's 2925-position model. The record is from RNAcentral. Lineage: Bacteria; Bacillati; Bacillota; Clostridia; Peptostreptococcales; Peptostreptococcaceae.